This 573-nucleotide ribosomal RNA is filed under the name uncultured bacterium. RNAcentral describes it as "bacterial SSU rRNA". It matches the Rfam family "Bacterial small subunit ribosomal RNA", at positions 79 to 648 of the family's 1533-position model. The record is from RNAcentral.
CUUGCUUCUCUUGAGAGCGGCGGACGGGUGAGUAAUGCCUAGGAAUCUGCCUGGUAGUGGGGGAUAACGUUCGGAAACGGACGCUAAUACCGCAUACGUCCUACGGGAGAAAGCAGGGGACCUUCGGGCCUUGCGCUAUCAGAUGAGCCUAGGUCGGAUUAGCUAGUUGGUGGGGUAAUGGCUCACCAAGGCGACGAUCCGUAACUGGUCUGAGAGGGUGAUCAGUCACACUGGAACUGAGACACGGUCCAGACUCCUACGGGAGGCAGCAGUGGGGAAUAUUGGACAAUGGGCGAAAGCCUGAUCCAGCCAUGCCGCGUGUGUGAAGAAGGUCUUCGGAUUGUAAAGCACUUUAAGUUGGGAGGAAGGGUUGUAGAUUAAUACUCUGCAAUUUUGACGUUACCGACAGAAUAAGCACCGGCUAACUCUGUGCCAGCAGCCGCGGUAAUACAGAGGGUGCAAGCGUUAAUCGGAAUUACUGGGCGUAAAGCGCGCGUAGGUGGUUUGUUAAGUUGGAUGUGAAAUCCCCGGGCUCAACCUGGGAACUGCAUUCAAAACUGACUGACUAGAGUA